AGUGAACGCUGGCGGUAGGCCUAACACAUGCAAGUCGAACGGCAGCACAGGAGAGCUUGCUCUCUGGGUGGCGAGUGGCGGACGGGUGAGGAAUACAUCGGAAUCUACUCUGUCGUGGGGGAUAACGUAGGGAACCUCACGCUAAUACCGCAUACGACCUACGGGCGAAAGCAGGGGACCUCCGGGCCUUGCGCGAUUGAAUGAGCCGAUGUCGGAUUAGCUAGUUGGCGGGGUAAAGGCCCACCAAGGCGACGAUCCGUAGCUGGUCUGAGAGGAUGAUCAGCCACACUGGAACUGAGACACGGUCCAGACUCCUACGGGAGGCAGCAGUGGGGAAUAUUGGACAAUGGGCGCAAGCCUGAUCCAGCCAUACCGCGUGGGUGAAGAAGGCCUUCGGGUUGUAAAGCCCUUUUGUUGGGAAAGAAAUCCAGCUGGCUAAUACCCGGUUGGGAUGACGGUACCCAAAGAAUAAGCACCGGCUAACUUCGUGCCAGCCGCCGCAGUAA
RNAcentral lists this ribosomal RNA (506 nucleotides) under uncultured bacterium. RNAcentral's name for it is "partial 16S ribosomal RNA". It matches the Rfam family "Bacterial small subunit ribosomal RNA", at positions 29 to 523 of the family's 1533-position model. The record is from RNAcentral.